Long non-coding RNA from Cydia splendana, 185 nucleotides. RefSeq lists it as uncharacterized. The transcript is spliced from 2 exons. NCBI's taxonomy places the organism in Eukaryota, Metazoa, Arthropoda, Insecta, Lepidoptera, Tortricidae. The record is from RefSeq and is a predicted model, not a curated record.
GUCGGUGGCAAACAAGCAUACAUCCCGCCUGAUGGUAAGCGGUGACCGUACCCUAUGUACAGUCAGCGUCAAAUACUUUGUAGCAGUCAAAGUGGCCAAAUAGUUCGGUACACCAUACUAAAUAUAUGGUGUACCGAACUAUUUGGCUACAUUGGUUGCUACAAAGUAUUUGACGCUGACUGUAC